RNAcentral lists this ribosomal RNA (442 nucleotides) under uncultured bacterium. Its description in RNAcentral is "partial 16S ribosomal RNA". It matches the Rfam family "Bacterial small subunit ribosomal RNA", at positions 338 to 795 of the family's 1533-position model. The record is from RNAcentral.
CCUACGGGUGGCAGCAGUGGGGAAUGUUGGGCAAUGGGCGCAAGUCUGACCCAGCAACGCCGCGUGAAGGAAGAAGGCUUUCGGGUUGUAAACUUCUUUUAAGGGGGAAGAGGAGAAGACGGUACCCCUUGAAUAAGCCACGGCUAACUACGUGCCAGCAGCCGCGGUAAUACGUAGGUGGCAAGCGUUGUCCGGAUUUACUGGGGGUAAAGGGCGUGCAGCCGGGAGGACAAGUCAGAUGUGAAAUCCCGCGGCUCAACCGCGGAACUGCAUUUGAAACUGUUUUUCUUGAGUACCGGAGAGGUCAUCGGAAUGCCUUGUGUAGCGGUGAAAUGCGUAGAUAUAAGGAAGAACACCAGUGGCGAAGGCGGAUGACUGGACGGCAACUGACGGUGAGGCGCGAAAGCGUGGGGAGCAAACAGGAUUAGAUACCCUAGUAGUU